UACGGAGGGUGCGAGCGUCGUUCGGAAUCAUUGGGCGUAAAGGGCGCGUAGGUGGUGCUGUAUGUCUCCCGUGAAAGCCCACGGCUCAACUGUGGGGCGUCGGGAGAAACUGCAGGACUUGAGGCUGGGAGGGGCUGGUGGAAUUCCCUGUGUAGCGGUGAAAUGCGUAGAGAUGGGGGAGAACACUCGUGGCGAAGGCGGCCAGCUAGACCAGUUCUGACACUGAGGCGCGGUAGCGUGGGGAGCAAACAGG
This 253-nucleotide ribosomal RNA is filed under the name uncultured bacterium. Its description in RNAcentral is "partial 16S ribosomal RNA". It matches the Rfam family "Bacterial small subunit ribosomal RNA", at positions 524 to 776 of the family's 1533-position model. The record is from RNAcentral.